CCUACGGGAGGCAGCAGUGAGGAAUAUUGGUCAAUGGACGAGAGUCUGAACCAGCCAAGUAGCGUGAAGGAUGACUGCCCUAUGGGUUGUAAACUUCUUUUAUAUGGGAAUAAAACGUUCCACGUGUGGGAUUUUGUAUGUACCAUAUGAAUAAGGAUCGGCUAACUCCGUGCCAGCAGCCGCGGUAAUACGGAGGAUCCGAGCGUUAGCCGGAUUUAUUGGGUUUAAAGGGAGCGUAGGUGGAUUGUUAAGUCAGUUGUGAAAGUUUGCGGCUCAACCGUAAAAUUGUAGUUGAAACUGACAGUCUUGAGUACAGUAGAGGUGGGCGGAAUUCGUGGUGUAGCGGUGAAAUGCUUAGAUAUCACGAAGAACUCCGAUUGCGAAGGCAGUUCACUGGACUGCAACUGACACUGAGGCUCGAAAGUGUGGGUAUCAAACAGGAUUAGAUACCCGAGUAGUC
Molecule: ribosomal RNA, 460 nt
Filed under: uncultured bacterium
Lineage: Bacteria
Description: partial 16S ribosomal RNA
Rfam family: Bacterial small subunit ribosomal RNA
Source: RNAcentral